This 380-nucleotide ribosomal RNA is filed under the name Iberus gualtieranus mariae. RNAcentral describes it as "partial 16S ribosomal RNA". It matches the Rfam family "Bacterial large subunit ribosomal RNA", at positions 1855 to 2597 of the family's 2925-position model. Lineage: Eukaryota; Metazoa; Mollusca; Gastropoda; Stylommatophora; Helicidae. The record is from RNAcentral.
ACUUCUGCUCCAUGAGAUUUUAAAUAGCCGCAGUACUCUGACUGUGCAAAGGUAGCAUAAUCAAUUGGCUUUUAAUUAGAGUCUGGUAUGAACGAAUAUAUGGGUUACAGCUGUCUUAGAAUAAUACUUCGAAUUUGGAUGUAAGUGAAAAUCCUUACUUAAUUAAAAAAGACGAGAAGACCCUAGAAGCUUAUAUUAAUAUUUUUGUUGGGGCGACAGAAUUACAAAUAACUAAUUCUAAAAAACGGGACGCGGGACUGAUAGAACAAGCUACUCUAGGGAUAACAGCAUAAUUUUUUCCGUUUGUGACCUCGAUGUUGGACUAGGUAAAUUAUCCUUUAGAAGAGGAUGUGAGAGCUCUGUUCGAGCGUGUUAAACCU